GGUCUCGUAGUGUAGCGGUUAACACGCCUGCCUGUCACGCAGGAGAUCGCGGGUUGGAUUCCCGUCGAGACCGCCA
RNAcentral lists this transfer RNA (76 nucleotides) under Staphylococcus aureus. RNAcentral describes it as "tRNA-Asp(gtc)". It matches the Rfam family "tRNA". Rfam says of the family: Transfer RNA (tRNA) molecules are approximately 80 nucleotides in length. Their secondary structure includes four short double-helical elements and three loops (D, anti-codon, and T loops). The record is from RNAcentral. Lineage: Bacteria; Bacillati; Bacillota; Bacilli; Caryophanales; Staphylococcaceae.